This 409-nucleotide long non-coding RNA is filed under the name Dromaius novaehollandiae (emu). Its description in RNAcentral is "lncRNA (ENSDNVG00000013884.1)". Lineage: Eukaryota; Metazoa; Chordata; Aves; Casuariiformes; Dromaiidae. The record is from RNAcentral.
AGGCAGUAAAACUUCUGGGCAAGGCUGCACAAAGCCCUGAAACAGCCGCAGAGAAAGGUGAUGCAACCACGAGGCUGCUCUUCACACCAGCACAUAGAAGAAACAGUAUCCCAGGGGGCACUGAGCUACUUUCCCUGAAGAUUUGUGAAAGCAUUUUGUAGAAAGGAAUUAUUUUCCUCUGAAAUGCAACCACCUCUGYGGACAACAGCUGCAGAACUGCUCAGCCCAUCAGUGUGGGACAGAGGGACGGAGGACACCGAGCUAAGGGAUUAUGGAGACCUGGUGUUGUUCACACCAGCCRGGGGAAGUAUCUUGGUGCUUCUGGACUAGAAAUUGCUUCAGAGCAAACUCCGUUAAAUCUUUGCUAACGUGACAGGCUUCUUUAGACGUCCCUGAGAGGUGCAGAGGC